This 856-nucleotide long non-coding RNA is filed under the name Mytilus galloprovincialis (Mediterranean mussel). Lineage: Eukaryota; Metazoa; Mollusca; Bivalvia; Mytilida; Mytilidae. The record is from RNAcentral.
UUUUUUCUCACUAAUACGUGUUUUUGUUGUUACAAAAUGAAUGAUGUAACCGGCAAGGACCCUAGUUUAAUUUUCUAAGUUGUCUGGUGAUAUGAUGCACUUCAGUCUUGUUACGAUAUUGGAGAUCUAGCGCUUUUUAAAAAAAAUUAUAGACACAUCGGAAUGACCCAGGACCCAACUUGGAAAAGCUGUGAUACCGUAUGGAUGUAAAUGUCACCCUACGCAUACAAGAAUACCAUUAGCGAUGAAAAGUAGCUUUGGCAUAAUUGUUUAAUGCUAUUUAAAUUGUAGAAUGAAAUUCAAAACAGUGUGGCUGUGGCCAUUGAUUGACACAUUAAUUUCAUCCAUUGACUGCGACAAUUUAGGUGAACGUUUGUAUGUAACGACCACUGCUCACUAUGUACUUUUUAAAGACACUUAAACUAUGGGGUCACCAAAGGUUCUCAACACCUUAAUAAAGUAAUUCGAAAAAUUAAUCAGAAAUAACACGAUGUUUUGAUUUAUAUCAAUUAUAUAAAUCAAAACAUAAAGGUUAUUCCUGAUUAAUUUUUCGGAUUAUUUUAUAAUUAAAGGCGUUAAGAAACCUUUGGUGACCCCACAGUUUAAAUGUCUAUCGUAUGUACGUCGUGAACAGUGGUUGUUACAGACAAACGUUCACGUAAAUUGUCCCAGUCAAUGGAUGAAUUUAAUGUGUCAAUCAAUGGCCACAGCCACACUGUUUUGAAUUUCAUUCUAUUAUAAUACAAUUGCACGUAGAAAUCAUUGUUUUUUAUAAAGUUUUCUAAUACAUAUUAUUGAAAAACAAAUAUCUAUAUGGUCCAAAUACUCAUAUGGUCCGGCCCGUUAAUAACCAAAC